This is an RNA transcript of Panicum virgatum (switchgrass), 2173 nucleotides long. It is a transcript of the gene named folate transporter 1, chloroplastic-like, with no coding region annotated. The record is from RefSeq and is a predicted model, not a curated record. The transcript is spliced from 10 exons. NCBI's taxonomy places the organism in Eukaryota, Viridiplantae, Streptophyta, Magnoliopsida, Poales, Poaceae.
CGGGCACAUCCAGACAGUGAGAGAAAAAAAAAACUUUGCAGCGCACGCUUCGCUGUUCGUCCACGCACGCGCAGGCGGCCGCGGCGGCAUCGACUUCCCGAACAAUCUGGCGGUGGGCGGCUACGGAGACCACGACUCCACGAGGCGACUAGGCGAGAGGCGCGAGGGAGGAGUCCACCUCUCGCCGGAGAUGCCGCCGGGGGGCUCGCCGCCUGCGUCGGAGGCGUGGACGUGGGAGAACGCCGCGGCCGGAGCGGCCGCCGGGUUCACUACCGUCGCAGCCCUCCACCCGCUCGACGUCGUGCGCACCCGUUUCCAAGUGAGCGGCGGGAGGGGUUGGUCUGAGGUGACGCCGUACAGGAACACCGCGCACGCCGUGUACACCAUCACGCGAUCUGAGGGUCUGAGAGGACUUUAUGCAGGCUUUUAUCCUGCAGUUCUUGGAUCAACUGUAUCCUGGGGCCUAUAUUUCUUUUUUUAUAACAGAGCUAAACAAAGAUACUUACAGAGGAAGGAUGACCAGCUUCAUCCGGUCCAACAUCUCAUCUCAGCUGCAGAAGCAGGUGUCCUUGUUUACAAAUCCCAUAUGGCUGGUGAAGACAAGACUGCAACUACAAACACCUAAACAUCGUACUUCAGGAUAUUCUGGUUUUUCUGGUAAUGUGCACUUCCUUGAACUGUUUAUGUUUAUGUUGUAUAAGUGCUCAUGUUGUUGUAUAUAUGUUUGUAAGCCUAGUCUAGCAAUUUGCUAUAACACAUUACACUGGUUGGCUCUGUUCAUCAAUUGAGUAGCCUGUGCUCAUUGUCAGUUAUGGCAGAUUCUAGAAACUAUGCCUAUUUACAUGGAUUAAAAAAGGGAACUGCCAUUUCUAGUUCAGUGAAAUAUCAAUGUGUUGUGGAGGUUGAUUGGAAUUGUAGUGUAGGGUGUAGCAUGUAGAGUCUGCUUGACAAAUUUGAGUAAGCCUCCUUGUAUGGAGGAUUCUUAUAACAGUUUAACCUACUAGAUAAGAUACCAAAUAAUAAAUUCAUAUCCUAGGAAACUAAAUAUAUCUUGCCAACUGUUAUCACAGUGGGACUAGUAACGCUACCCUAAUGCAAGUUAACUACCUUUGUAGAUCAGCUGCUGCAACUCAAUUGAUGCAUCUUUCUAAUAAUUAUUUCUGAGCUUACUUAUUCUUCAUACUUCCUGUUUUUCUAUAUUUGGUUUUAUACAUUAAACUUGUUUGUUAAAGCCAGAUGCUUUGAGAACUAUUCUAAAAGAGGAGGGAUUUCUUGCACUUUAUAGAGGAAUUGGUCCUGGGCUUUUGCUGGUCACCCAUGGUGCGAUACAGUUCACGGCCUAUGAGGAACUUCGCAAAGCUAUGAUAUUUAUGAAAACUACACAAACAAGGACAGAAGAUAGAGGAGGCGAGGAGUCAUUGAAUUCUAUUGACUUCGCGGCACUUGGAGCUAGUUCAAAAGUAGCUGCUAUUUUACUUACCUAUCCUUAUCAGGUCAUCCGAGCCCGCUUGCAGCAACGGCCUGGGAGUGAUGGUACUCCAAAGUACUCGAAUAGCUGGCAUGUGGUGAAGGAAACUGCAAAGUAUGAAGGUGUCCGUGGAUUUUACAGGGGCAUCACGUCCAACCUAUUGAAAAACCUUCCUGCGGCUUCCCUCACGUUCGUGGUGUAUGAAAAUGUAAUCAAACUAUUCAAAGCAGCCAAGGAGAAGACGUAGUGAAAUCCAAGUAAAACAGAGAAGGAAGAAAAGAAUAUUGAGAUUGUUUUAACACUCCCGGAUUCAUGGUCAUACCCUACAGUUUCCACUUCAGGGUUGAGUCCAUAUCUCGGUCGUUUAGCAUCCCAGACUACAGAUUUGCAGCCGUAGAGGUUGUGGGCUUGUGUCUAACAUGAUAAGUGGGAAAUUUUGUUUCGAGAAAUUUGCAUUUUGUAGAGGGAAGGAGCAUUUUUUAUGUUUCUUCCAGGUGAACAGUACACUGCUAAUGUUCGGUCCCACAGUUUGCACCCUUGUUGGUGCGCAUUUUUUUUCUUUUGAUAGUUCUUGGUGCGCACUUGGGCAUUAAUGAUGGUAUCAUGCCUUUGCUAACGUAUUGCCAUAAUAUAGAUUAUAGAGUGAAUGUACUUUGGCUCAGAUUUAUCUGUAAUUUUUUAUUUGAGCACUGCAGUUUUAUCUUC